Neogale vison (American mink) is the source of this 266-nucleotide long non-coding RNA. RefSeq lists it as uncharacterized. The transcript is spliced from 3 exons. Lineage: Eukaryota; Metazoa; Chordata; Mammalia; Carnivora; Mustelidae. The record is from RefSeq and is a predicted model, not a curated record.
CCACAGCCUCACACACCGGGCUCGAAAGCUCCACCAUCUAUAUGGUCCGGCCCUGUAGGACAACGUGCAGGGAAGGAGACGCACAGAAAGGGCCUUUUAAAAUGUUCUCACCGAAUCACUCAAGAUUGUAUCAGCAUGAAGCAUGUCAUCCACACCAAUAUCCUCAGAGCCUCCUCAUGAAUAAUGUGACUAACAAGCGUCCUGUGUGGCCGCCUGGCACUCUGGGAGCUUCAUCAGCCUGACUCCUCAGAGAUGACGAUCCUGGA